This 224-nucleotide ribosomal RNA is filed under the name uncultured bacterium. Its description in RNAcentral is "partial 16S ribosomal RNA". It matches the Rfam family "Bacterial small subunit ribosomal RNA", at positions 91 to 334 of the family's 1533-position model. The record is from RNAcentral.
UUCAGUGGCGGACGGGUGAGUAACGCGUGAGAAUCUGCCAAAGGUUCGGGACAACCACUGGAAACGGUGGCUAAUACCGAAUGUGCCGUAAGGUGAAAGAUUUAUUGCCUUUUGAUGAGCUCGCGUCUGAUUAGCUAGUUGGUGGGGUAAAGGCUUACCAAGGCGGCGAUCAGUAACUGGUCUGAGAGGAUGACCAGUCACACUGGGACUGAGACACGGCCCAG